This 266-nucleotide unclassified non-coding RNA is filed under the name Rhizophagus sp. (in: glomeromycetes). Its description in RNAcentral is "partial contains 5.8S ribosomal RNA and internal transcribed spacer 2". The stretch from base 1 to 65 matches the Rfam family "5.8S ribosomal RNA", at positions 84 to 154 of the family's 154-position model. Lineage: Eukaryota; Fungi; Glomeromycota; Glomeromycetes; Glomerales; Glomeraceae. The record is from RNAcentral.
GUGAAUCAUCGAAUUUUUGAACGCAACUUGCACUCUCUUCGGAGAGUAUGCCUGUUUGAGGGUCAGUAUUAAUAAAAAUCGGUGUGUUGCUUCUGGGUUACGCUCCGUGGUUUGGGUCAUCUUAAUAUCCUUUAGGUUUUAAGAGGCUUAAAAUUGACUUUUUUUGCGCAUUUUAGAUGUACAUAAAGUCUUUUUUUGAUUCGUCUAGCUUAUUGCUCAAAAUACUAUUAGAUGCGACCAUAUCGUAUGGUUGCGUGUCUAUAAAU